UUUUGCUGGCGAGUGUUCGAUUGGCAUUUCGAUGGCGUAGGUUUUUAAGUAGGCUGGUGGAAUUCCUUGCGUUCGUCUACUGGUUCUUCUAGGCUGAUCUUGAUCUUCUGACAUAAGACCGACGAGAUCACAAUAACAAGUUAUGAGAAAUUUUUUCCACGACAGACCAAUAAUCCAUAAAGAUGACCACGUCAGGCCAAGACAAUAAUGAAUAAAGAUGUCCUUUUUUGCCUCACCGAUGAAUAAACUGCAUCCGACUUUACCCUUCUAAAUAAAAACACUAUAAAUUUGCUUUAAUA
Long non-coding RNA from Stomoxys calcitrans (stable fly), 299 nucleotides. RefSeq lists it as uncharacterized. The transcript has 2 exons. The record is from RefSeq and is a predicted model, not a curated record. NCBI's taxonomy places the organism in Eukaryota, Metazoa, Arthropoda, Insecta, Diptera, Muscidae.